RNAcentral lists this ribosomal RNA (497 nucleotides) under uncultured bacterium. Its description in RNAcentral is "partial 16S ribosomal RNA". It matches the Rfam family "Bacterial small subunit ribosomal RNA", at positions 28 to 507 of the family's 1533-position model. The record is from RNAcentral.
GACGAACGCUGGCGGCGUGCCUAAUACAUGCAAGUUGAGCGCUGAAGGUUGGUACUUGUACCAACUGGAUGAGCAGCGAACGGGUGAGUAACGCGUGGGGAAUCUGCCUUUGAGCGGGGGACAACAUUUGGAAACGAAUGCUAAUACCGCAUAAAAACUUUAAACACAAGUUUUAAGUUUGAAAGAUGCAUUUGCAUCACUCAAAGAUGAUCCCGCGUUGUAUUAGGUAGUUGGUGAGGUAAAGGCUCACCAAGGCGAUGAUACAUAGCCGACCUGAGAGGGUGGACGGCCAAAAGGGGAAGGGGACAAGGCCCAAAAUCCUAAGGGAGGCAACAGUAGGGAAACUUCGGCAAAGGACGGAAGGCUGAACGAGCAAAGCCGGGGGAGUGAAGAAGGUUUUCGGAUCGGAAAACUCUGUUGGUAGAGAAGAACGAUGGGGAGAGUGGAAAGCUCAUCAAGUGACGGUAACUAACCAGAAAGGGACGGCUAACUACGUG